This 309-nucleotide long non-coding RNA is filed under the name Theobroma cacao (cacao). RNAcentral describes it as "long non-coding RNA (TCAC_LNC003252)". Lineage: Eukaryota; Viridiplantae; Streptophyta; Magnoliopsida; Malvales; Malvaceae. The record is from RNAcentral.
UAUAUAUAUAUACAUACGUAUAUACCCAUCAUCAUCAUCUCACCAACCCAUCAUCAUCAUCACCAGCUCAUGCGCACUCCCUACUCGCACAUGGCUGGGUCAUCACCGGGUUAUGCGCACUCCCUACUCGCACAUAACCAGGUCAUCACCGGGUUAUGCGCACUCCCUACUCGCACAUAACUGGGUCAUCCUCAGCUUAUGCUCACUCCCUACUCGCAGAUAGCCGAGUCAACAUAAUUACACAACAUUAUAUUCAAGCAUAUAUGUAUAUCAACAUAAUGCAGCCACAUAGAAAUCCAUAAUAACCAC